GACGAACGCUGGCGGCGUGCUUAACACAUGCAAGUCGAACGGAAAGGCCUGCUUUCCCUUGUGGAUUGCGGGUACUCGAGUGGCGAACGGGUGAGUAACACGUGAGUGAUCUGCCCCCAACUUGGGUAUAAGCCUGGGAAACUGGGUCUAAUUCCCGAUAGGACUGCAGGGUGGUGCCUGUGGUGGAAAACGAUUUUCUAGUGGUUGGGGAUGAGCUCGCGGCCUAUCAGCUUGUUGGUGGGGUAAUGGCCUACCAAGGCGGCGACGGGUAGCCGGCCUGAGAGGGUGGACGGCGACAUUGGGACUGAGAUACGGCCCAGACUCCUACGGGAGGCAGCAGUGGGGAAUAUUGCACAAUGGGCGGAAGCCUGAUGCAGCGACGCCGCGUGGGGGAUGACGGCCUUCGGGUCGUAAACUCCUUUCGACCGCGAGGAAGCCACCUGGUUGGAAGGGUGGUGACGGUAGUGGUAGAAGAAGCACCGGCUAACUACGUG
Molecule: ribosomal RNA, 494 nt
Filed under: uncultured bacterium
Lineage: Bacteria
Description: partial 16S ribosomal RNA
Rfam family: Bacterial small subunit ribosomal RNA
Source: RNAcentral